GACGAACGCUGGCGGCGUGCUUAACACAUGCAAGUCGAACGGAAAGGCCUCUUUCGGGGGGUACUCGAGUGGCGAACGGGUGAGUAACACGUGAGUAACCUGCCCUUGACUUUGGGAUAACCUCAGGAAACUGGGGCUAAUACCGGAUAGGAGCUCCUGCUGCAUGGUGGGGGUUGGAAAGUUUCGGCGGUUGGGGAUGGACUCGCGGCUUAUCAGCUUGUUGGUGGGGUAGUGGCUUACCAAGGCUUUGACGGGUAGCCGGCCUGAGAGGGUGACCGGCCACAUUGGGACUGAGAUACGGCCCAGACUCCUACGGGAGGCAGCAGUGGGGAAUAUUGCACAAUGGGUGGAAGCCUGACGCAGCAACGCCGUGUGCGGGAUGACGGCCUUCGGGUUGUAAACCGCUUUCGCUCAUGACGAAGCUUUGUGUGACGGUAGUGGGUAAAGAAGCACCGGCUAACUACGUG
Molecule: ribosomal RNA, 467 nt
Filed under: uncultured bacterium
Lineage: Bacteria
Description: partial 16S ribosomal RNA
Rfam family: Bacterial small subunit ribosomal RNA
Source: RNAcentral